AUGCUCUUGCUACUUCAGUUUAAUGAUUGCAUUCGUAAUGAUCAAACAUUGCGAUAUGUUGUAGUUCUUACCUCGACCGCAUCUUUUGGCGCUUUUUCGAUUAAUUCAGGGACAAUACCAUGCCGCAUUAAUGCAUCUCUAAUCUCUGCCGGCGUCCGCAUCGGUACUUUUACUACCAUUGGCUCGCUGAAUGACAAUACAGAGAGUAUAAAGUAUAUAAUGUAAUGUAUGUUGACGAAAACUGUGAUUUCAACACCAUAAUGACCACAGUAAGUAAUUGAUUUAAGACCGUUCACUGAAUUUUACAAUGUGUUUCUAUUAAAUUUUUAAAUAUUUAAUAAAAAGGGCACCAGACAACAGUCCAUCUUAAAAAAAUAACAUUUAUUUUCUAAUCCAUACAGGGGUAAGAACCGUGUCAAGGAGAAUCAAUGACUGGGGUGUCUAGGGUCUAUUAGAGUAGCAAGAGAAUGUCCGGAAGAUGAGGGUCAAUAAAGCAUAACAUAAAAAUGAAAGAAAGAAAGAAAGAAAGAAAUAAAGAAAGAAAGAAGAAAAAAAUGGGUCAUAUGCAUAAUAAAAGAGAUUUGAAUGCUCACGCUCCAAAAAACGUGAUUUAAAAGUCGCGUGUAGGGCAGCGUGAGAGAAUGCGUCAUCGUUUGUCGUCUUUCAAAAAGCGAUUUGUUAAGUUGCAUAACGCUAGUAGCAGAGCAUUUCACGCUACUUUCAGUGACUUUUUUCGGGAGAACUGAGGCUCGAAUUUAUUUUAAAGUGUACCGCGUUUAACAGCAAGAAACCAAGCCACAUCAGCUAUCGUCAAAAACUGGACACUUAAUUUUUUACAAGAGAAUGUUUGUGCGAAUUCUUUUGAGAAUUUAAAGGAAUGCGCCUCGUACUGUGCAGAAAAUUCACAGAAAUUUGCACAAAAAUCCGCACAACCGUCUUCAUGUAAAAAAUUAAAUUUGGCAAUAGUUGAUGUCGCUUGGUUCCUUUCUGCUGAACGAGGUCCAAUUAUCACUGCGCCGUGCGCUAAACAAUUGAGUCAUUUUAUUGCAUGCAUCAAUAUAGAUUGCGGCUUUGGUUGACACUUGACGACAAUAAUGCCGGGCUAAGGAAAACGUUGUAUGAACCUCCAGACGUUGCCAAAUUUUCUUUGAUAAAACACGAAUUUCUUGGUAAACUUAUGAAUAUUUUCCUCCUAAUUUUUAGGAUAAUUUUUCUCGCAAUUUCACCUAAAGUUCCUGAAAAUUUCGAGGAAAAAUAUUCAUAACUUUAAUAAAAAGGAAUUAUAUCUAUUUUGACAUGAGCCCUGCGAUCAAUAAGAAUACUUGCAUAAUGGGGGUCACUUCAUAUUAGAUAAAGUUCCUUUUGAUUUAAAUACGUCCAUUUGUAGUACAGGUGAUACGAUGGUCAUGAGCACGGUAUAUAGUGACGCGACGUGUCGCAGAUUAAUAUAUCACGGUAAAUUGUGCUUUACAAAAUAUCACGCUCAAAAAGUCAAAUGGAGAGUGCUUCUUUUCUGAUUUAAUUCUUAUAUUUAUUUAAAAAAAUAAUUUACAACAAAUUAGAUUGUCAGCGGAGAUCCUUACUUAAAAUAUCUUUUGCGAGAAAUGAUUACAUCUUUCCAUGUGUUGCUAUGGAGCGCACGUACCGCUUGAAGCACCGCUAUAAAUAAGACAAACGGAAACAAAAUCAUCAUGGAGGUAGAGAAAGGAUGCGCGUUGAUGACGGCGCAGAGAUACGACUAUUCGUACUUGAUGGAUGUCCGUGCUGCAUUCGGAAAAUUGAAGGCGUGUCAACUCGUAAGCUGCCAAUGAGGUGUCGCUUGGGUUCAGAAGAGAAGUUAAAAAACGAGGCUGAAUUACGUCUCUCGUAUCUUCGGCUGUGUUGAAAGUGUUUUUUCUUCCUUCCUUUAAUCUAAUGUCCGGUUCUUUUAUUACGACGUAUUUGAUGACCUAUGUCUAAAGCUCGUAUUCACGCAAUAUACAAAAUGCUGGGGGCCGGGAUUUUAGCAAGCAGUGUGUGGGCUCGGGCAUCUAAGGGCAAAUUCACUUAGCCAUUUAACUUCCUAGGAAAACUUCACCACACUCUUUACUUCAUCUCAAAAUACAGAAAUUAAUUUUGUGCCCAAUUUUACUUGCGUAAAUAUGUUUUUUUGGAACGCAGAAAGUUUACAUUGACGGACAAAGAAAAUAAAAAAUUCUUAGUUUGAGUUGAAUGGAAACAUUGGUCUCCAUCGUCCUGUAAGUGAAAUUUGUCGAGAUAAUGGGAACUGUGAUGAUAAAUUCCUCAUCCUGUUCGGAUAUAGUCAAUUGUUAUACGUAAUAAGUUACAAAAAAAUGUUUACAAUGUUCAUCAAAAUAAUGUCUUUAUUUUGUUUUCAAAGUUUACAAGAGGCCUAGAAAUAAAGUAAAAACACUACAAAGUAUGUACAAAAACUUGUGAAAAAGUAACAAUUUUCUACAUGAAACGCAUGUAAAUAAAUCACGAUUAUUUCAGAUCAAGGUGUGUGAGGGUGUGCUGUGACUCAAAGACGAAAUGGAAGGAAAAAUAAUUAAGGACUGAAAAUUUAAUAAAUAACUAACUCCUGUUUUUAAGAAAUAUUCAUUGAACAAUUGGGAUAUGGAUCUCGAGAU
This 2630-nucleotide long non-coding RNA is filed under the name Bemisia tabaci. RNAcentral describes it as "lncRNA ENSSWEETPG001456". The record is from RNAcentral. Lineage: Eukaryota; Metazoa; Arthropoda; Insecta; Hemiptera; Aleyrodidae.